Molecule: long non-coding RNA, 761 nt
Filed under: Monodelphis domestica (gray short-tailed opossum)
Lineage: Eukaryota; Metazoa; Chordata; Mammalia; Didelphimorphia; Didelphidae
Description: lncRNA (ENSMODG00000041556.1)
Source: RNAcentral
CAUAUUUGCAAUGAAGAAAAAUAUGAGUUAGAGCUCUAAAAACAUUUGGAAAAUGCUGCUUCUGAUGAAGGGAGCUGACAUUCUUGCUCUUGAGUGUUUACAAAAUGCUUACCGUACAACAAAUCCAUGAGUUAGAAGUGUCCGGAUGUUUAUCCCAAUUUUACAGAUGAAGAAAUUGAGGCUUAAAGAGGAUAAGUAUCUUAAGACCAUGAUCUCACAACUAGGAACUGAAAGAAGUAGAUCCUCAAAACAUAAUUUUGGCUUAAGAAAUUCUUAAAAUACAAGUUGAGAGUGCCUGCACAUUUUUUGAAGUUUUAAAAGAUGAAUUAGGUUUUAGAGUGUAACAGACAUAUCCAAUAGCAAGGACUCCAUUUCCCAGGAGACUAUGUAUCCAGAGGACCAACAUUUUUGGAAGGGGAACAAGGGCUCUUGGAGGAAGAAGGCGACCAGCAGGUUUGACCUGUUUUCAAGUCACUACUCUCUAGAGACUACAGUCCUUCUAAGUUUGCAGGUCACAGCCACUGUUUCUUCUUUUAUACCAUCCCAUUAAUGAAGCAUAUGGAUCAGAAGAAGUAUAAUCAAUCACAUCUUUAUCAGAGCCAGCAUUAGUGCUAAUUAAACAGAAAGUGUGAACAAGCUUUAAAGUACAGAAAACCCAUGGAGUUAACAUAUGCUCUUUCAGAUAGCAAGAGCUAGGAGAGGAGAGACAAGCACUGCUCAAUAGAAAGUCAAUAGUGAGGGGCAAGUAAGUAAUUCAGUGG